CCACAACACACGGCGCACGCAAGUGCGCCUUACCCAAAACCCGUGCGCUUUCACAUACACUGCGCGUCGCGCGUCGGGGAGCUGGGCCAGCCGCGUUUUCGCUAACGCGGCGCCGCGCCCAAGGGCCCGAAGCGCGCGCGCGCACUUUAUAUAAAAGCCGUCAACUCGAAACUCAUACCAUGUGUAUCCAAACCAAAA
RNAcentral lists this unclassified non-coding RNA (198 nucleotides) under uncultured fungus. RNAcentral describes it as "sequence contains ITS1, 5.8S rRNA gene". The record is from RNAcentral. Lineage: Eukaryota; Fungi.